AAAGGACGCGUGGGCGGAUUAUCAAGUCUUUUGUGAAAUCUAACANNNUAACUGUUAAACUNNUUGAGAAACUGAUAAUCUAGAGUGAGGGAGAGGCAGAUGGAAUUGGGGGUGUAGGGGUAAAAUCCGUAGAGAUCACCAGGAAUACCCAUUGCGAAGGCGAUCUGCUGGAACUCAACUGACGCUAAUGCGUGAAAGCGUGGGGAGCAAACAGGAUUAGAUACCCUGGUAGUCCACGCCCUAAACGAUGUAUACUAGUUGUUGCUGUGCUAGUCACGGCAGUAAUGCACCUAACGGAUUAAGUAUACCGCCUGGGGAGUACGGUCGCAAGAUUAAAACUCAAAGGAAUAGACGGGGACCCGCACAAGCGGUGGAGCAUGUGGUUUAAUUCGAAGAUACGCGAAGAACCUUACCUGGGCUUGAUAUCCAACUAAUCUCUUAGAGAUAA
Molecule: ribosomal RNA, 448 nt
Filed under: Campylobacter fetus
Lineage: Bacteria; Pseudomonadati; Campylobacterota; Epsilonproteobacteria; Campylobacterales; Campylobacteraceae
Description: bacterial SSU rRNA
Rfam family: Bacterial small subunit ribosomal RNA
Source: RNAcentral